AUCAAACCAACCGUGAGUCGGUCUGCUUUUUAUCCCUCUGAGCCUGCUCGUGUGCGUAACCACAGGGGGAUCCAAUCCUUCCGCUAGCUUGGCUGCAGGUGGCACAGACCUAACCCGAAUGAGCCGGAGAGUGGGGAUCCUUCACCGGUGUCGCUGGGCUUUGGGACACUUGCUUCUCCUGGACAGCUUCUCCUUGGUGCUCAGACCAGUCGUGCCACGAGGGACCGCGCUUUACAGGUUGUCAUCAGCCACGUGCAGCCCUCACGCAGGGCUAGAAGCAGGAAGGAACUCCCCUCGCCGGGUUCCCAGCCGGAAAAUGGCCAAGGGGGAGCGGGUGUCCGGGGUGCCUCUACGAACCGGAGAGAACAGCACCACUUUGCCCUUUUGGACCUCGGCCUUCCCCCAGGACCAACCCCGCAAUCUGACAAAGCGGCUUUGUGAACCCCGUGCCCCCCGGGGGAACUUUGGGCAGCUCCCCUGACAAAGAGAAUUCUGCCGGAUACAAGGAGACAUGGGCAACAGCAGAAGCCAGUCGGGGCCGAGGUUUUGUUCACAGUUUCUCCCCGCGGAGCAGGCCGAGAUCGAUGGGUUGUUUGACGCUCUGUCAUCGGAGAAGCAGCGCCCAGAUACCUCCCCCAGGUCCUUCUCUCUGAGGGCAGUAAAGAGUCACCUAGGGGAAGCCCUUCCCCCGGAGAUGGUCACAAGACUGUACGAUGGCAUGCGGAGCCUCGACCUGCCGGGGAAGGCGAAGGCGCCCAGCGAGAGCGUCUCCCGGGAGCAGUUCACAAUGUUCAUGUCCCACUUGCUAAAGGGAAGCUCCGAGGAGAAGAGUCUUGUGAUCAUGAAAAUGAUUUCUGCCACAGAAGGUCCCGUGAAAGCGAGAGAAGUCCAGAAGUUCACGGAGGAUCUGGUUGGCUCUGUAGUGCACGUGCUAAACUACAGACAGGAGCUGAGAGGCUGGACCCAGAAGAGGGGCCCGGGCCCCCCACCCGGGGUGCAGGUGCUGGCCGCCCAGCUCUUCUCCGAGAUGGAACUCCGAGGCAGCGAGGAGCUUCCGGGGCCUCAGCAGCUGGACCGUGACUGUGACCGAGCCGUGAUCGAGGACUGGGUGUUCAGGGCCCCCCACGUGGCCACGUUCCUGAGCGUGGUCAUCCACAGAGGCUUUCUCCUCCCGCGCUUGUCCCUCGAUCUGGCCCCCCUGGUCCCUGAGCGUCACGUGGACCAGGAGAGGGUGUUUGAGAGCAUCCUGGACGUGCCGUCGGUCAUCUACGUCAACGCCCACCUGCCCAGGGAGCGGCGGCACCGCUGGCACCUACUCUUCUCGUCUGAGCUCCACGGGCACAGCUUCGCCCAGCUCUGUGGGCGCAUCACCCACCAGGGCCCCUGCGUGCUGCUGCUCGAGGACCGUGAUGGCCACGUGUUCGGUGGGUUUGCGUCCUGCUCUUGGGAGGUCAAGCCUCAGUUUCAAGGGGACGACCGGUGCUUCCUGUUCUCCACCUCCCCCCGCAUGGCUGUGUAUACCUCCACGGGCUACAACGACCACUACAUGUACCUGAAUCACGGGCAGCAGACCAUCCCAAACGGCCUGGGCAUGGGCGGACAGCACAAUUACUUUGGGCUGUGGGUUGAUGUCGAUUUCGGGAAAGGACACAGCAAGGCCAAGCCCAAGUGCACCACGUACCACAGCCCUCAGCUGUCCGCCCAGGAGGACUUCCGGUUUGAGAAGAUGGAGGUGUGGGCAGUGGGCGAGGCGCCGGGCUCGCAGCAGGCCCAGAGGAACAGGAGCGUCCUGGCUGUGGACCCUGAGGCCCAGGCGCUGCUGGAGAUCAUCGGGCGCCCUCGCCACAGCCAAGGGCUCCGGGACGUCCCGGAGGAUGAGUGAGGAGCCCCCCGGGCUCGGGCCUCCCCAGAGCUGGAUCCCGGCGGCCCUGUGCAGGGCACAGCCUGCAGACCCCUCCCUCUGUCGCACGUGCUCAAGUUCAACACGGAGCCAUGCUGGUCACGUCCGGCACCACCCGGAACGCAGUAAAAUUCCUUUGCUGCCGUAUACGGAUUGGUCAGUGCCUCUCCCAGAAGUCCCGAGGGCCAGCAACCUGGUCCAUAUGUUGUUUCUUGCCGAGGCAAUCCGGGGACACAGACGCCGAGGCCUCUGCCGGGCAUUUGACGGGCACGGGCCUUCCUGCCGCGCAGGACGGGUUCCACGUGCCGGGGGCGCUUGGCCUCUGCUCAGGACCCUGCAGCCGAAACCGUGCCUUGAUGUUGCAUUUCAGCUGGUCAAGGGCAGAGGCAUUGGGGUGUGGGUCUCCGCGCUUUUGGGGAGCACCUUCCCCUGACAUGAAAUUUUUGUGUUGAUAAAGCAGCACAAACAGUGUGCUGGGGGGGGGGGGUGGGGAGAGCCAAAGACUCGGGAGAGAGAGCAGGUGUCCCCGUGCAACGGGUCCUCAGUGGUUGGCAGCUGGGCUCCACACCCGCCCUUCUCAGCUGGUUUUAAAGGGGCCUGUGCCAUGAUCUACGGAUCACUGCCAAGGUGUGGUUCUGUCACCGAUUUAAACGUGGGGAGGGCGGAAGCCCCGCCACGUCCCGUCGCAUAAACUGGUGGUGAGUCACUGGGAAGUACUGACCCGGGUUCCUGACCCUGGCACCGCCUCCUCGGUGUCGCCCCCUGGCCCAGAGUGGCUCCCAGAGGGGGGUGACGGGCCAUUCGAUAGCAGGGACUCACUUUGAACCAACUCAAGUGACCCCGGCUGCUAACUGCGAUCUCGGUGGGUGUCUGAGACGGGCCGGAGGAAACCAGCCGCACCGAGAGGUCCUUCCCUGAAGAGCUGUGGGCUCGCCUCCAGAACACGUAUCUCUUCCUCGCCUCUCUCUCCGUAGACUUUUCACUUUCUGCAGAUCUGACGAAGAACGUGACCCCUUAUGAUCGACAUCGCCGGAUUCUAAGCCAUCGUCAACUGAGCUGUGGGCAUUUUUCAGCUUCUACUUUUGCUGCCAGGAGGCUCCUCCAACUUUGCACUCGGCAGCUCCCCCCCGGCCGAGCGGAGGGCCUUGCAAACUAGAAGGCACGCGCGUGCCCGGCCAGCGCGCAGAGGGACAGCGGCCUGACACAGACUUAGUCACUGUUGAUUCUGCUUAAAAAAGCCGGCUUUUAAUAAGCUUCUCUGGUACGUUGUGUGCUGUUCUCAGCUGCUGGGAUCCCAGGCACAGGACGUUAGGAUCCUCAGAUCUGUCUGUACCUUAUUGAGAUCUGAUGGAUACAGGACUCUGUGCAAGUUUGAGAGGUAGGUACAUACAGCGUGUUGAAUGCAAUCGUUAACGAUUGUGUACCUGGAAAUGAGGAUAAUUUCCCUACUCUGCACUUUCUAGGCCUUUUAUUCUUUCUCUUAAUUGUAUCAGCAAAUUCUUUAAGAACUUCAGUAGCAGUGAUAGGCCCUCACCAUUCCUGACUUUGAUGGAAAUGCACCUGGCCUUUUACCGUGAAGCAGGGUGCUUUUCAGAUACAUUUCCACGUAAAGGAAGGAUCCAUCUGUAUUUACGUUAAAAGUUUCCGUCUAGAUGGUGAAUGUUAUAAAAAGGUUUUCCCUCUUAAAUAAGGAACCCAAAUCAGUAGGGCUCUAGCUGCUGAGCAGUGUUUGUAUUUAUUUUUUCUUUAAUUUUUUUAACGUUUUUAUUUAUUUUUGAGACAGAGGGAGACCGAGCAUGAGC
This is an RNA transcript of Lynx canadensis (Canada lynx), 3702 nucleotides long. It is a transcript of the gene named MTOR associated protein, eak-7 homolog, with no coding region annotated. The record is from RefSeq and is a predicted model, not a curated record. The transcript is spliced from 10 exons. NCBI's taxonomy places the organism in Eukaryota, Metazoa, Chordata, Mammalia, Carnivora, Felidae.